UUUUCAGAGAUGAGAAUGUGCCUUAGGGAACCGUGAGACAGGUGCUGCAUGGCUGUCGUCAGCUCGUGUUGUGAAAUGUUGGGUUAAGUCCCGCAACGAGCGCAACCCUUAUCCUUUGUUGCCAGCGGUCCGGCCGGGAACUCAAAGGAGACUGCCAGUGAUAAACUGGAGGAAGGUGGGGAUGACGUCAAGUCAUCAUGGCCCUUACGACCAGGGCUACACACGUGCUACAAUGGCGCAUACAAAGAGAAGCGACCUCGCGAGAGCAAGCGGACCUCAUAAAGUGCGUCGUAGUCCGGAUUGGAGUCUGCAACUCGACUCCAUGAAGUCGGAAUCGCUAGUAAUCGUGGAUCAGAAUGCCACGGUGAAUACGUUCCCGGGCCUUGUACACACCGCCCGUCACACCAUGGGAGUGGGUUGCAAAAGAAGUAGGUAGCUUAACCUUCGGGAGGGCGCUUACCACUUUGUGAUUCAUGACUGGGGUGAAGUCGUAACAAGGUAACCGUAGGGGAACCUGCGGUUGGAUCACCUCCUUACCUUAAAGAA
Molecule: ribosomal RNA, 546 nt
Filed under: Salmonella enterica
Lineage: Bacteria; Pseudomonadati; Pseudomonadota; Gammaproteobacteria; Enterobacterales; Enterobacteriaceae
Description: bacterial SSU rRNA
Rfam family: Bacterial small subunit ribosomal RNA
Source: RNAcentral